AUCCAGCACGUGGGUCACUCGAUCCACCGCACGCUGGCCGCGCAGCUCAAGUACGCGCUGGUGUGGGGCACCAGCACCAAGUACUCGCCGCAGCGCGUCGGCAUCGCGCACACCGUCCACGACGAGGACGUGGUGCAGCUCAUCAAGAAGUAAUUAAUUUUGCGGGCACAUCUAAAUAAACUAGCCUGUUUUCGGACCUUCUGAUAUCGAUGUGUGGUAUGUAUCUACAUUACUAUAAGUUUCUUAUGAGUUAUCAGCUGCCUAUUAUAUACUUUCAUCUGUGGGUUGUCAUGCUAAUUGAUUAUGAAUCCAUGUUCGAUAAAUCAAUCAAUGUCAACUAAUGUUUGAGGGCCAUUUUAUUUAACGUUGUAAGUUAUACGGUUUCUAGAUAUUUGAUUUUAGGUAUUUCUAUGUUAGCUCUUAUAAACUCGCACAUUUAUGUAGCAAAUAGGCCACAAGGGCCCUGUUACACGUCAAGAUGCAAUUUACAUACAAGGAGAAAACAAGUGCCCCCAUGAUUUUUAUUUCCAUUCCGUUGCCCUUUACUAUAGAAUUCGUGUGCCGGUAACUGUAACAGAAUGGAAUAACUCAAACACUACUCAAAUCUAAAUCAAAGUGUAGUGUAUAACUUUAUUAAAAUUGUCCUAAAUAGAUCUUUUUAGGGUUCCCCUAGUUUAGUGUCCCACUGUUGGGUAAAAGGCCUCCCCUCCUUUCCGCCACUCAGCCCUGUCGUAUGUAAGAAAAAAAAACGUGAUUGGGAUCAUUUUGUAUGAUAUUUCUGGUUUCAAGUGGAUAAUGUAUAUUUGUUUUUUUUUAGCAUAUUGGCUGAUAGCAAUUAAGAAACCGGUAGUACUGUAUAUCUCGAGUAAAUACAGAAUAUGUCACUAUCACUAUUGUUCUGUAUAUACAGUCGCCAUCAGAUAUAUCGGAGCGGCCAAGGUGCUCACAAGUAUCUGAGCACGCCUCUAUUGUCAGGGCGUUAGAGUACGUGUUCAGAUAUUGUGAACACCUUGGCCGCUCCGAUAUAUCUGAUGGCGACUGUACCUACUACGGCACGCCUAAAGGUAUAAAUUGUAGUCAGAUUGUGUUAUUUUGGUUAACAGAAAUUGUAUAACUAGAUUGGACGCAAUAUCAUUAUGCCUUUGACAACUUUUACAGCAAUAAUGCUAUUAUUUUUAUAUAAAUUAUAAAAUUAGUCAACGCUAUGCGACUUUUGGGCGGUUUUAGUUGAAAUGUUUAUUCAUUGUUAUAAAACUUAAAGCAAUGUAACUUGGUGACUUUAAUUUAUUAAAAAUCUGGCAUCUGAAAUGCUAUCUUGUAAUGAUCAUUUUAUUUUAAUAGUUAAGAGCCUGACCAUGCUAAAAGGCUGCCUUUCUACUGACGCGGAGAUGAGAAUAUAAUACAAUACAAUAGCAUUGUUUCUCUUCUCCGCUUCCCCGGAUUAAGAAUAAGAAGAAAUACAAUUCUGUAACAUCUUAAAUAACAAUCUUAAUAAAAUGACACAUAACACAAAUUAGGUAGACAAACUAGAUGCUAAACAGGAUCCCCACUCAGCAUAAUGCCACGGCAAGCCAUGUUAGCAACUAAGCUAAACCUAAACUAAAACUGAGUGACAACACACACGUCAAUCAUAGCCUCCUAAGGCCCAGCCAUACAAAUGAAAAAUUCAGAAUUUGUCACUGAUAUUUGAACCUAUAGUUCAGGGGAUAGAGUUGAUUAUAGUUUUGUUUGAAAAUUGAACGAAUCAAAACAAAUGCAACUCUAUUCCAAUUGAAUAUGAUUUAAAUUUCAUCGAACUGAAUAUGUACUAUAGGUAGCACCUUAGGCCUUAUAGUUAGGGAGGCGAAUAGGGGAAUUUUUUGCAAUACUCGAGCGUGGCAGUUUAAGAUAUGAGAGAUACCUUAGACCUAAUAGAACAACCUUGUAAAGUAUUUAGCUCUAUAUGUAGUGACGCGCGCCUAGGAUAGACGAUCAGAUUAGUAAAAAAAAAUGGAUAGUCUGAAAUACUCGAGCGCGUCAGAUUAAGAUAUUGGGGGUUGAUUUUAGUGUUUAAAGACUAAAUUUAACUAAUCUGACGAUAAGUCCUUGACGCCGCCGAGUUAUAGGGUCGCGAACUUGUAAAAAAAAAACGUUAAUCCGGUAUUCUCGAGCGCGAUUUUUUUAUUUUUUAUUUUGAAGAAUAUAAUCUAAAACUUACUAAAAAUACAAAAUCUGCCGGUUUCCGCAUGACCGGAAGUGUGGAGGAGCCAUUUCGUCUUCCUAAGAACGCGUUGCGGCAUAUAAUAAGUCGCGAACGAUACAUUUUACAAAAAAAAAGUUUAAAUAAACAAAAAAGGUAAUUUUAUUUUACACAAAAAAGGUCUCUUUACAUUUUUGUCCAAAGUUAAAACUUUUUGACUUGAAGCAUCAUAAAAUCGGUCAGAUUAAGAGAACCCACCAACAUUUUUGUCAGAUUAAAAAAAUAUGCUUUCAGGAUACCGAGAUAAACCUCCCCUAUGAAAAUCUGACGCGCUCGAGUAUUUCAAAAAAACUUUUUUUUUUUGCAUUUUCAAAAAUUCAUCGUAACUUAUCGUCACGCCGAAAUCGUCAGUUUUUUUAAAGGAAGCUUCCUUGGGGCCUACUUAACACCCCUUCCGAAAAUCAGACGCGCCCGAGUAAAUUUUUUUUUUUGCAUUUUUGACUACUUUAUAUGCCUACCCCCACCACGCAAACCGGCAGAUUAGUAUACCGUUGUUAUCAGAGGCACUCGGGGCAUACGUAGUAUGAAUAUCUGACGCGCUCGAGAAUGCCCAAGUAACUGUUUUUUUUAACAUUUUUGAAAAACCGUACACGCCAAACCCACCGCUAAAAUGGUUUUUGCCAUACGAGCUUUUCUUUUCGAAAUUAUUUUAUCUUUCGAUUUUGAUAGGUCUCGACGGCGCCGUUGAAUUACGCCAUUUAGCUACCUCGCCUCCCUAACCAUUAGGAGGAUAGAUUACAAAAUACCAACACAAUAAAAGAGGGAAACUACAAAAUGUAAUUAACACAUGAAAUUACAACCAAUGCUAUUUGUUGAUUCUUCCACGUCUCCUCUCAUCUCUGACUCAGUGGAAAGGCAGCCUAAGAGCAUUUUAACAUUUUCGAUCGGAUAGAAGUAAAAUGUAUGUCGUAUGUUUUUUUAUGUAUUCAUUUAAUAAAUCUGCUAUUUAUCUGCAGCUGACUGUACAUUAGCGUCUUGAUAAUAGAGACUUUGUUCAGAUAUUUGUGAACACCUUGGUCGCUCCGAUAUACACGGUGGCAAAAAAAAACUGCAUUCUCGUUGCCAGGGAGGCUUUGGGAUCAUAAUGAGCAACUUUUACUAUGGGACCAACCACGAAAUCGCGAAAAAUAAAUUUGGCUGUUUCAUUCAUUCUGGCUGGUCCAUUUUCUAUGGGGGGGUAAUUUUUUUUAUCGCGAUUUCGGGGUUGGUUCCAUAGUAAAAGUUACACAGUAUAAUCACAAAAUCUACCUGGCAACGGUAAUGCAGUUAUUUUUAAGCCACCCUGUAUAAGUAUCUGACUGACCGAUAUAUACUCGUAUCGUAUGCAAGACCUAUCAGUUUCCACAAUGGCUAUUAACCUUUUGAACGCCAAACGGCGCAUCUAAAUUCCGUGCCACUGACGCCAGGGGGGUAAAAUUUAGUUUUGUGAAUAAAUAAUGCCAACCUAAAAGUGGGGUCAUGGUAUAAUAAUAUACUCCGCCUGGUACUCUCUUCCCGUCUUUUCUAGGUCACCUGACUGACACAAGCCUACGUCAUCAUGCGACAGCGCUAUAUGAUAAUAUGCGAUAGCGCUAUAUAUAGCGGCCAUGUUAGUGUGACGUAGGCCUGUGUCACUCUGGGAAGAGAAGACCAUGUUUUAUUAGACUAUGAGUGGGGUGUUUUGCAUUAGAUUUUCAUCAAAAAACGAACGACGUCAAAUGCCGCCUUUGGCGUCGUUGUCACGAUUUUGCGUUGACGUCAAUUGCCGUCUGUGGCGUUCAAAAGGUUAAAAAUUAAAACACUGAGUCGAGUUCUAAAAGACUAGAGUGUUUAUCUACACUAAGUUUAUCGUCAUAUGAAUCCAACGCAAGCAAUAAAAACAAUCACGACUGUUCAAGAGUUAUCAUUGUUGUAUAUACUCAAUUAUAAUUUUGCAAUGGAAUAAAUAGUUUUUUAAAAGUG
Long non-coding RNA from Cydia fagiglandana, 4180 nucleotides. RefSeq lists it as uncharacterized. The transcript has 3 exons. The record is from RefSeq and is a predicted model, not a curated record. NCBI's taxonomy places the organism in Eukaryota, Metazoa, Arthropoda, Insecta, Lepidoptera, Tortricidae.